This 433-nucleotide ribosomal RNA is filed under the name uncultured bacterium. Its description in RNAcentral is "partial 16S ribosomal RNA". It matches the Rfam family "Bacterial small subunit ribosomal RNA", at positions 29 to 507 of the family's 1533-position model. The record is from RNAcentral.
AACGAACGCUGGCGGCAUGCCUAACACAUGCAAGUCGAACGAGACCUUCGGGUAUAGUGGCGAACGGGUGCGUAACGCGUGGGAACCUGCCCGUAGGUUCGGAAUAACUCCCCGAAAGGGGUGCUAAUACCGGAUAAUGUCUUCGGACCAAAGAUUUAUCGCCUUUGGAUGGGCACGCGUUGGAUUAGCUAGUUGGUAGGGUAAAAGCCUACCAAGGCGACGAGCCAUAGCUGGUCUGAGAGGAUGAUCAGCCACACUGGGACUGAGACACGGCCCAGACUCCUACGGGAGGCAGCAGUGGGGAAUCUUGGACUAUGGGCGAAAGCCUGAUCCAGCAAUGCCGCGUGAGUGAUGAAGGCCUUAGCGUUGUAACGCUCUUUUACCCGGGAUGAUAAUGACAGUACCGGGAGAAUAAGCUCCGGCUAACUCCGUG